UUUUAUAGAUGGAACAGACUCUGAUGUUUAUCGCUUUUCGUAUAAGAUUUGCAUUCCAACUGACUGCUCAGAAUGUGACCACUCUAUUUUAUUUAAUCUGCUGUCUAUUCCAACACCUUUUUUAGAGGCCGUUUGUGCUGAAGAGAAUUCCGUGUCAGAGAGACCACAAAACGCGCCAUUUGGAAAACGAUCUUAUUAAUCUGACAUCAUAAUAAGCCAUUAAUCAAGUGGCAUUAACAAAACACUGACCAAUGGCCACCUGAAACUGAGGCCAGACCCAGACACGACUCUCGGAUCAACAUUCGCCAGCAGCGAUUGCGAAUGCCACUGCGACUGCGACUGCGACUGCGUCUGGAGCACAUGAGACCAUUGCCAACAUGCUUGGAGUUGGAGCUGAAGCUGGAGCUGGAGCUGGAGGCGGAGGCGUACUCGAUCUCUGGCAGCAGCUUAAACAAAUUGAAUUCGCAUUGUUCACAUAAUCGCUGGCCAUUUGUAAACGGUGUACAGAAUGUGCUCACGUUUAUGUCACAAAAUCAAAUUAAUAAUUUGUGCGGCAUUUUUCUCUGAAUUGAGACGGCAAACAAAAUAUUCUCAACAAAGCUGAACGUCUGGCACUUGCAGCAGGCGCGAGAAAAGGCCUCGAGCACAUAAAUCGUUUUUCCGCAAAUGCUUGGAAAUGUCAACAUUUGAUUGCACCACUCGCCCCACUUGCCCCACUUGCCCCACUCCCUCUGCCCGAACACCAGCCUGCUGGCUGGUUGCGCCUCAAUGGCUGCUUGAAGUUAAUUUCACAUGUAUCCCAACAUGAUGGCGCUGCACGUAUUCCGAACUAUUUAGAGAUCCACUCGAAAUAGUUCUUGAACAGCUGCCAAUUUCUAUCCGACCUCCACCAGUUCGGCAGCCAACGCGGAUGCGUUCCCUACAUUCAUUCCCUUUUCAUUGGGCGGGUGCAAGAUUUUCUGCAAGAGCGCAUCAAAUUUGAGUUCUUAUUUGUUUUUCGGUCUGUUGAAAUUAAUUAAAAACGUUCUUGUUUGCCCAAAUUAAGCACCUCAAAUAGAAUUUUAAUUGAAUUCGUUACCUAGGCCAAGCAAAUUUCAUCUUUUGGGUGUGAUGUUCAGUUUUUAUGCUAUAUUACUCAGAUAUAUAUAAGCAUCUAAAAGAUAAUAUUUAUCUAAUUUCACUAAUUGACUGCAAAUCGUCCAAAAUAUUAACAUGAUGUGACCUCAUCUCAAGCAAAAUAAGCUAUUAAAUCAUUAGAAGCAACUAUUUUACACUAAACGAAAUAAUAAUUUAAGAGUU
This is a long non-coding RNA of Drosophila montana, 1299 nucleotides long. RefSeq lists it as uncharacterized. Lineage: Eukaryota; Metazoa; Arthropoda; Insecta; Diptera; Drosophilidae. The record is from RefSeq and is a predicted model, not a curated record. The transcript has 4 exons.